UACGUAGGGUACGAGCGUUAAUCGGAAUUACUGGGCGUAAAGUGUGCGCAGGCGGCACCGCAAGUCGAGUGUGAAAGCCCCGGGCUUAACUUGGGAAUUGCGCUCGAAACUAUGGUGCUGGAGUGUGGCAGAGGAAGGUGGAAUUCCAGGUGUAGCGGUGAAAUGCGUAGAGAUCUGGAGGAACACCGAUGGCGAAGGCAGCCUUCUGGGCCAACACUGACGCUCAUGCACGAAAGCGUGGGGAGCAAACAGG
RNAcentral lists this ribosomal RNA (253 nucleotides) under uncultured bacterium. RNAcentral describes it as "partial 16S ribosomal RNA". It matches the Rfam family "Bacterial small subunit ribosomal RNA", at positions 524 to 776 of the family's 1533-position model. The record is from RNAcentral.